UUAUUUUUUCUUUGGUUCUGGGGAUUGAACCCAGGACAUUAUACAAGCUAGGCAAGCACUCUACCAACUGAGUUACAUCCCCAGCCCAGCUUUCUUUAUAUUUUGACAGUCUUAGUGAAGCCACCCUCAUCUUUGGUGGAUCAAGUGGUCCUUUCAAAUAUGUUUAUUCUGCAUCCCUUCCUUUUCCUGCUAGUCUGAUGUCUUUUAAGUUCCUUAUUCCUGAUUUAGACCCACUGGGAGACAUUUGGGCCAUGACAUUUUGUUUGUAAUGCUUAGAUCUGACCAGUCUCCACCAAAGCGGGCACUCACUUUGUCUGAUUUCUACUAGGUCCCUGGUGUGUGUCCAAGAGUCCCCAUUUUCUGGUUGAGGAGGUUUGGAUGGAGCAGCAGACAGUGGCUUUUCUUUUCCCUUCUAUCUUCUUCCUGCCAAUCUAUACCUGAAUCUGCAUAGCUUUCCUUUUAGAAUAUGAGUGACAGCUGACAUGUUCAUUCAUGGUUAAUCUAAGUUGGUCUUAAAUGUGAUUUCUGUUGUGUACAGCUCUGGCUUCAUUAGGCAUGGAGUUCACCUGGGUUGGUGAUUCACCACCUGUCUGCAGCAUUCCACCUCUGUGGAAUUCAGUAGAGCAAACAUAAUGGGAAAGGGGUUGUUUCUCCUUCAGUCCUUUGUUUACAUCAAGGAGCCAGUCUUGGUUUGAUACCAAUGUACCUUUGACACUCUGUGAUACUUCUUUAACAAAAGAAUGACAAGAGGGCUGGGCAUGUGGCUCAAGCGGUAGCACGCUCACCUGGCAUGCGUGGGGCGCUGGGUUCGAUCCUCAGCACCACAUAAAAAUAAAAUAAAGAGGUUGUGUCCACCAAAAACUAAAAAAUAUAUAUUAAAAAAAUUCUCUUUCUCUCUCUUUCUCUUUAAAAAAAAAAAAAGAAUGACAAGACCCUUGUUAGGCAGAAGUGUCCAACUAGAACUUAGUCACAUUGUUUUGUUUUGGUUGUAUACAUCUUUUUUAUUACCUUCUAUUUAAAGUGAGCAAUGCCUAUAAAAGGGAAGGAAAAGGUGUUUCUUUAAAGACUUAAUUUUUAAAAGUGAAGUAAUUAAAUAAAAAUAAUCAAGUAAGUAAUUGUAGGGGUUGGCAAAACUUGAGAGAUCGCAGAAUAAAAUGGUGUAAGAAUACAGUAAAAAGAGUCUUUGGGCAACACUUCAGAAACUGAGAGCCAGAAAUGACUGGAUGCAUCACUGUCUGCCAGGCUCCAUCCCUCCCCAUGGCGCUAGACUGUGAGCCUCAAGAGGGCUGAGACCAUGUCUCAGAGAUCUCACCAUUGGAUUGUGGAAACUAGUAGGUGCUCAAUAUUCACUGAUUAAAAUACAGGUGAAAGGAUAAUUAUGUACCUCAGGUCCCUUGAGAACACUGAGGAUUAGAGGAACAGGCAACUUUCCCAGGAUCUCAGACAUUUUGUGGCUGAAUUGUGGUUAUGGACCACACCUCCUUUUUUGAGUUCCUCUGCAUUCCCAGCCCUGAGCCCUUUUCUCUAGCUCCCACUGCUUUUUAGGGUACAACAGUUGUUAUCAGAUGUUGUGCACAGAGAGCAUUUAACUCCAUUUUUUUUGAAGUUGUAGAUGGACAUGAUACCUUUAUUUUAUUUAUUUUUAUGUGGUGCUGGGGAUCAAACCCAGUGCCUCACACUUGCUAGGCAUAUGAUCUACUACUGAGCUACAACCUCAGCCCUUAACUCCCAAUCUUCACAAGUGGUGGUUGUUCUUGAGUCAUUGACCCAUGACCUCUAUUUUAAGAGUGUCUUUUUUUGAGGGAAGGGGGUUGGGUAAACAGUGAUUGAACUCGGGGGCUCAACUACUGAGCCACAUCACCAGCCCUAUUUUGUAUUUUAUUUAGAGACAGGGUCUCACUGAGUUGCUUAGCAUCUCACUUUUGCUGAGGCUGGCUUUGAACCCACCGUCUUCCUGCCUCAGCCUCCUGCACCACUAAGAUUACAGGUGUGUGCCACCAUGCCUGGCCCUUAAGAUUGUCUCUUUUAAGCCCCAGUGCUUCUGUAUGCCCACUGAACUUNGAGGCAUCCUUGUGAGGAAGGAAGUGCUGCAUACUUUGAGGGAGGGCAGUAACUGGAACAUCUGUGUCCUCUCCACAGAUCAACAGUGGGCGCCCUGCUGGCAUCCGAGGUAACCUGUUCUAACAACUGUGUGUCCCAUUAUGUUCUUGUCCCUUUGCUUUCCCCCCUUUCUUCUGGCCUAUGGUGAUUUUGAACCAGACACCUCUGCAUGGCUUAGGAACCAUUGUAGCAAGUCAGUUUUUCUCCUUGGUAAUUAUGAAUAGUGG
Molecule: long non-coding RNA, 2327 nt
Filed under: Marmota monax (woodchuck)
Lineage: Eukaryota; Metazoa; Chordata; Mammalia; Rodentia; Sciuridae
Source: RNAcentral